GUAGGUGAACCUGCGGAAGGAUCAUUAAUGAAUUUUAGGACUCUCUUUUUAGAGGUCCGACCCUUUCAUUUCCAUACACUGUGCACACACUUCUUUUCACACAUUUUAACACUAUAGUAUAAGAAUGUAACAGUCUCUUUAUUGAGCAUAAAUAAAAUAAAACUUUCAGCAACGGAUCUCUUGGCUCUC
This 189-nucleotide unclassified non-coding RNA is filed under the name rhizosphere metagenome. RNAcentral describes it as "partial ribosomal RNA internal transcribed spacer region". The record is from RNAcentral.